GUGGGAUAAAAUUCAUUUCGAUAAGUUUCUCUUUCAAAACUCAUUCAAUGAAAACAUUUUUUGGCAGUUAUAAAUAUCUCAAAUGAUACUUUUAUCUGUUCCAGGUGAACUGUUUUGAAAUAGGACAGCAAGGGGUCAACAUAAGAGGACUGUAUCCUACAGCAUUCCUCAUGGCACACGACUGUGUACCAAAUACCAACCACACAGAUAAAAAUAUCAACUAUAGGCUCACUGUUCGUGCUUCCACGCACAUUUCGCCAGGAUAUCCAAUUACGAUGAGUUAUGCAUAUACACUGCAAAAUACUCUAAAAAGGCGUGAACACCUUUUUGA
Molecule: long non-coding RNA, 331 nt
Organism: Leptinotarsa decemlineata (Colorado potato beetle)
Lineage: Eukaryota; Metazoa; Arthropoda; Insecta; Coleoptera; Chrysomelidae
Source: RefSeq, a predicted model, not a curated record